GAAUGUGAUAUGGGAGACUUGGCAGAUGACCAGUAGUAUGUCUGAAAGGGGUGGACCCGGUCUGACAGUUGAGCAAGAUAGAGCUGGUACAUGAUCUGCUCAUUGGAAGAAUCAUUUUUUUUGGUAGAUUUUUUUCGGUACCAGGGAUCAAACUCGGGACUUUGUGCUUGUGAGUCAGGUGCGGUGCCACUGUGCUAAAUCCCUGGCCCAGAAGGAUCAUUUCUGAGUGCCAUCUGAACAAGAAAAUUUCCAUGGAUCUACAUUUUUGCCCAUAUAUGACACAGUCUCUCUGUCACCCGUAUAUGACAUUCAUCUUGUCACAUAUAUGGAAAUUGUGAUUCCAUAUAGGUUAUUAAGAAUGUUAAAGGAAUGGUUGCUUUUGAC
Molecule: long non-coding RNA, 384 nt
Filed under: Heterocephalus glaber (naked mole-rat)
Lineage: Eukaryota; Metazoa; Chordata; Mammalia; Rodentia; Bathyergidae
Description: lncRNA (ENSHGLG00000041752.1)
Source: RNAcentral